Monodelphis domestica (gray short-tailed opossum) is the source of this 455-nucleotide long non-coding RNA. RefSeq lists it as uncharacterized. Lineage: Eukaryota; Metazoa; Chordata; Mammalia; Didelphimorphia; Didelphidae. The record is from RefSeq and is a predicted model, not a curated record.
GAGACUGGGGAUGGUGGCUGGGGGUGGUAGGGGAAAGGAAGAGAGUAGGGCGAGGUAGUGGGCAGCUGUAGCGCACGGGUCCGAGAGGCUUAGAGUGGCGAGUUUCCUUUUUACCCCUGAGCUAAUGGAGAAAAGAGGGGUUGGGGCGCGAGAGGGGGAGGGAAGGGAGUGUGUUGGCAGGACCAGUGACUGCAGCCUGCAUCCGGCCGGCUAAGGUCCUGAGGAGGAACGAAGCAGAAGCGGGUUUCAGCCCAGUCGUUAUAUUCUUUGACAGAACUCUUCACCCAGGCGUAUCUGAUCUUCGGCACUGCCAGGACGCUUCCGUUUAAAGACGCAAAUAGUUUUAAAAUCUAUUUUCUAAGAAGCGAGAUGUCAAGUAUGAAGAACAACAAGCAAAAUGAUUUGGCCAGACCAUUGCAAAUGAAUGAAUAAAUGAAUUUAUAUAGCACUUUAAA